RNAcentral lists this unclassified non-coding RNA (652 nucleotides) under Hevea brasiliensis (rubber tree). Lineage: Eukaryota; Viridiplantae; Streptophyta; Magnoliopsida; Malpighiales; Euphorbiaceae. The record is from RNAcentral.
UAGCUCUUUGAUCGAUCCUCAUAAGAAAAAAAGAAAAAAAAUUCUAACUCGCUCCCACGGUCUCAUUUCUGAACUCUCUCCCGCCAAAACAUAUCUGUACGUUCGUGGAAGUCUUGGGAUUCUCAAAAUGUUUUCAUUUCUUAGAUAGGACCUAUAGUUUUUGAGUUACAAGCAUUUGUUUGAAGAGUGGCGCUAGAGCAGCACCCUCUAACUUUUGAAUGGACUUCAAUGGAGAUCACCAAAAAAGAUUCCUGAUGAGAAAACUAAAUUUCUAAAUCGCUCUUACGGUCUCAUUUCUUAACUCUUAUGAAAUAUAAACAUAUGUGGACGUCGGCCAAAGUCUUGUGAUUCUCACAAUGUGUUCAUUUCUCAGAUACGACUUAUAGAUUUUGAGUUAGAAGCUUUUGUUUGAGGGUUGGUCUGAAACCAGUUUUUGUCUCCAAAGUGUGCGCGCAGCAGGUGUUCCUCAUCUAAUCAGUGAGUAACCAUAGCAACCCCAUAGACUGUCAGAGGUCAAGUCUCCUCUAUAAAUUUACUAGAUUCAAAGUUUUUGCCACCAUCCGCUUUGGCCCAGUGGUUAAGGCACUCGGAUCAUGUGACGUGAGUCUGGGUUCGAAUCCGGGUGAGGGUGGUGGUUUUUGCUAAAUUUUGG